CCUACGGGAUGCAGCAGUAGGGAAUCUUCCGCAAUGGACGAAAGUCUGACGGAGCAACGCCGCGUGAGUGAUGAAGGCUUUCGGGCCGUAAAACUCUGUUGUUAGGGAAGAACAAGUGCUAGUUGAAUAAGCUGGCACCUUGUCGGUACCUAACCAGAAAGCCACGGCUAACUACGUGCCAGCAGCCGCGGUAAUACGUAGGUGGCAAGCGUUAUCCGGAGUUAUUGGGCGUAAAGCGCGCGCGGGUGGUUUCUUAAGUCUGAUGUGAAAGCCCACGGCUCAACCGUGGAGGGUCAUUGGAAACUGGGAGACUUGAGUGCAGAAGAGGAAAGUGGAAUUCCAUGUGUAGCGGUGGAAUGCGUAGAGAUAUGGAGGAACACCAGUGGCGAAGGCGACUUUCUGGUCUGUAACUGACACUGAGGCGCGAAAGCGUGGGGAGCAAACAGGAUUAGAUACCCGGGUAGUC
Molecule: ribosomal RNA, 466 nt
Filed under: uncultured bacterium
Lineage: Bacteria
Description: bacterial SSU rRNA
Rfam family: Bacterial small subunit ribosomal RNA
Source: RNAcentral